GAUGAACGCUGGCGGCGUGCCUAAUACAUGCCAGUCGAGCGAACAGACGAGGAGCUUGCUCCUCUGACGUUAGCGGCGGACGGGUGAGUAACACGUGGAUAACCUACCUAUAAGACUGGGAUAACUUCGGGAAACCGGAGCUAAUACCGGAUAAUAUAUUGAACCGCAUGGCUCAAUAGUGAAAGACGGUUUUGCUGUCACUUAUAGAUGGAUCCGCGCCGCAUUAGCUAGUUAGUAAGGUAACGGCUUACCAAGGCAACGAUGCGUAGCCGACCUGAGAGGGUGAUCGGCCACACUGGAACUGAGACACGGUCCAGACUCCUACGGGAGGCAGCAGUAGGGAAUCUUCCGCAAUGGGCGAAAGCCUGACGGAGCAACGCCGCGUGAGUGAUGAAGGUCUUCGGAUCGUAAAACUCUGUUAUUAGGGAAGAACAAAUGUGUAAGUAACUAUGCACGUCUUGACGGUACCUAAUCAGAAAGCCACGGCUAACUACGUG
This 497-nucleotide ribosomal RNA is filed under the name uncultured bacterium. RNAcentral's name for it is "partial 16S ribosomal RNA". It matches the Rfam family "Bacterial small subunit ribosomal RNA", at positions 28 to 507 of the family's 1533-position model. The record is from RNAcentral.